CUUGCACGCUGGCGGCAGGCCUAACACAUGCAAGUCGAGCGGAUGAAGGGAGCUUGCUCCUGGAUUCAGCGGCGGACGGGUGAGUAAUGCCUAGGAAUCUGCCUGGUAGUUGGGGAUAACGUCCGGAAACGGGCGCUAAUCCCGCAUACGUCCUGAUGGAGAAAGUGGGGGAUCUUCGGACCUCACGCUAUCAGAUGAGCCUAGGUCGUAUUAGCUAGUUGCUGGGGUAAAGGCCUACCAAGGCGACGAUCCGUAACUGGUCUGAGAGGAUGAUCAGUCACACUGGAACUGAGACACGGUCCAGACUCCUACGGGAGGCAGCAGUGGGGAAUAUUGGACAAUGGGCGAAAGCCUGAUCCAGCCAUGCCGCGUGUGUGAAGAAGGUCUUCGGCUUGUAAAGCACUUUAAGUUGGGAGGAAGGGCAGUAAGUUAAUACCUUGCUGUUUUGACGUUACCAACAGAAUAAGCACCGGCUAACUUCGUG
RNAcentral lists this ribosomal RNA (484 nucleotides) under uncultured bacterium. RNAcentral's name for it is "partial 16S ribosomal RNA". It matches the Rfam family "Bacterial small subunit ribosomal RNA", at positions 30 to 507 of the family's 1533-position model. The record is from RNAcentral.